This is a non-coding RNA of Monodelphis domestica (gray short-tailed opossum), 585 nucleotides long. The record is from RefSeq and is a predicted model, not a curated record. Lineage: Eukaryota; Metazoa; Chordata; Mammalia; Didelphimorphia; Didelphidae.
CCUGCAAAGAAGAUCAGAGAUGCCUUUUACAAGGUACAGAGAAAAAGCAGAACUGACUGGAAGCCAAGGUGAUGAGAGAGUCGUGGGUUGCCAUCAGAGCGCACAUACAUCAGACAGACCUGGCGAACACAAAAGUCACUUUUGCCAGGUGAUUUGUGGACUGACUCUGUGAUUUACCAACUCUCCACUAGAUGCUACACCAAGACCAGCAAACCUUUAAUGAAAUCCAAUCAAGUUUAAGUGUUUGGAAAUCUGGAAUGGAGCCACCACUGAAAGCAAACACUGGUUGUUACCUACAUGGUGUCUCUACCUUUAGACUAUAGUCAAGAUUGCACAAGCCUGAACAGCUACUACUAUAAAGGAGUUUGGAGCAUGGAAGCUGCUAUUUCAAAAGGAGGAGAUGCAGUCCUACAAUCAAAAUUACUUUAGUAAGAGUCUAUAGGAGAAAACUGGAUCUUCAAUGAAGUGGAUGAAUUCUAAGCAUUGCUCCAGAAAAAGCUAAAGAUUAGAAACUUUGAAAUGCAAACCACAAGAGUCUAGAGAAGCCAAAAAAAAAAAAAAAGGAAAAUACAGCUGAGCAAUCAG